Molecule: ribosomal RNA, 468 nt
Filed under: uncultured bacterium
Lineage: Bacteria
Description: partial 16S ribosomal RNA
Rfam family: Bacterial small subunit ribosomal RNA
Source: RNAcentral
GACGAACGCUGGCGGCGUGCUUAACACAUGCAAGUCGAACGGAAAGGCCCUGCUUUUGUGGGGUGCUCGAGUGGCGAACGGGUGAGUAACACGUGAGUAACCUGCCCUUGACUUUGGGAUAACUUCAGGAAACUGGGGCUAAUACCGGAUAGGAGCUCCUGCUGCAUGGUGGGGGUUGGAAAGUUUCGGCGGUUGGGGAUGGACUCGCGGCUUAUCAGCUUGUUGGUGGGGUAGUGGCUUACCAAGGCUUUGACGGGUAGCCGGCCUGAGAGGGUGACCGGCCACAUUGGGACUGAGAUACGGCCCAGACUCCUACGGGAAGCAGCAGUGGGGAAUAUUGCACAAUGGGCGGAAGCCUGAUGCAGCAACGCCGCGUGCGGGAUGACGGCCUUCGGGUUGUAAACCGCUUUCGCCUGUGACGAAGCGUGAGUGACGGUAAUGGGUAAAGAAGUACCGGCUAACUACGUG